CCUACGGGGGGCUGCAGUGGGGAAUAUUGCACAAUGGGCGCAAGCCUGAUGCAGCCAUGCCGCGUGUGUGAAGAAGGCCUUCGGGUUGUAAAGCACUUUCAGCGGGGAGGAAGGCGUUAAGGUUAAUAACCUUGGCGAUUGACGUUACCCGCAGAAGAAGCACCGGCUAACUCCGUGCCAGCAGCCGCGGUAAUACGGAGGGUGCAAGCGUUAAUCGGAAUUACUGGGCGUAAAGCGCACGCAGGCGGUCUGUCAAGUCGGAUGUGAAAUCCCCGGGCUCAACCUGGGAACUGCAUUCGAAACUGGCAGGAUAGGGGCUUGUAGAGGGGGGUAGAAUUCCAGGUGUAGGGGUGAAAUGCGUAGAGAUCUGGAGAAAUACCGGGGGCGAAGGCGGCCCCCGGGACAAAGACUGACGCUCAGGUGCGAAAGCGUGGGGAGCAAACAGGAUUAGUACCCCAGUAGUC
This 464-nucleotide ribosomal RNA is filed under the name uncultured Klebsiella sp. Its description in RNAcentral is "bacterial SSU rRNA". It matches the Rfam family "Bacterial small subunit ribosomal RNA", at positions 338 to 795 of the family's 1533-position model. Lineage: Bacteria; Pseudomonadati; Pseudomonadota; Gammaproteobacteria; Enterobacterales; Enterobacteriaceae. The record is from RNAcentral.